UACGUAGGGGGCAAGCGUUGCCCGGAUUUACUGGGCGUAAAGAGCGCGCAGGCGGUCGUUCAAGUCGCGUGUGAAAGCCCCCGGCUCAACUGGGGAGGGUCACGCGAUACUGAUCGACUCGAAGGCAGGAGAGGGAAGUGGAAUUCCCGGUGUAGUGGUGAAAUGCGUAGAUAUCGGGAGGAACACCAGUGGCGAAGGCGACUUCCUGGCCUGUUCUUGACGCUGAGGCGCGAAAGCUAGGGGAGCAAACGGG
Molecule: ribosomal RNA, 253 nt
Filed under: uncultured bacterium
Lineage: Bacteria
Description: partial 16S ribosomal RNA
Rfam family: Bacterial small subunit ribosomal RNA
Source: RNAcentral